GGGCGCGUAGCUCAGUGGGAGAGCGCCGUCUUGACGAGGCGGAGGUCGGCGGUUCAAUCCCGCCCGCGCCCACCA
This 75-nucleotide transfer RNA is filed under the name Pseudomonadota bacterium. RNAcentral's name for it is "tRNA-Val". It matches the Rfam family "tRNA". From Rfam's summary of the family: Transfer RNA (tRNA) molecules are approximately 80 nucleotides in length. Their secondary structure includes four short double-helical elements and three loops (D, anti-codon, and T loops). RNAcentral also lists the same sequence under 1 other name. Lineage: Bacteria; Pseudomonadati; Pseudomonadota. The record is from RNAcentral.